This 428-nucleotide ribosomal RNA is filed under the name uncultured bacterium. Its description in RNAcentral is "partial 16S ribosomal RNA". It matches the Rfam family "Bacterial small subunit ribosomal RNA", at positions 354 to 796 of the family's 1533-position model. The record is from RNAcentral.
GUGGGGAAUAUUGGGCAAUGGGCGCAAGCCUGACCCAGCAACGCCGCGUGAGGGAAGAAGGCUUUCGGGUUGUCAACCUCUGUCCUUGGUGACGAAACAAAUGAGGGUAGCCAAGGAGGAAGCCCCGGCUAACUACGUGCCAGCAGCCGCGGUAAUACGUAGGGGGCGAGCGUUGUCCGGAAUUACUGGGCGUAAAGGGUGCGUAGGUGGCCUUUUAAGUUGGAUGUGAAAGACCCGGGCUUAACUUGGGGGGUGCAUCCAAAACUGGGAGGCUAGAGUGCAGGAGAGGAAAGCGGAAUUCCUAGUGUAGCGGUGAAAUGCGUAGAUAUUAGGAGGAACACCAGUGGCGAAGGCGGCUUUCUGGACUGUAACUGACACUGAGGCACGAAAGCGUGGGGAGCAAACAGGAUUAGAAACCCGUGUAGUCC